GAUGAACGCUGACAGAAUGCUUAACACAUGCAAGUCAACUUGAACUUCGGUUUGGGUGGCGGACGGGUGAGUAACGCGUAAAGAACUUGCCUCACAGCUAGGGACAACAUUUGGAAACGAAUGCUAAUACCUGAUAUUAUGAUUAUAUGGCAUCGUAUAAUUAUGAAAGCUAUAUGCGCUGUGAGAGAGCUUUGCGUCCCAUUAGCUAGUUGGAGAGGUAACAGCUCACCAAGGCGAUGGUGGGUAGCCGGCCUGAGAGGGUGAUCGGCCACAAGGGGACUGAGACACGGCCCUUACUCCUACGGGAGGCAGCAGGGGGGAAUAUGGGACAGUGGACCGAGAGUCUGAUCCAGCAAUUCUGUGUGCACGAUGAAGUUUUUCGGAAUGUAAAGUGCUUUCAGUUGGGAAGAAAAAAAUGACGGUACCAACAGAAGAAGUGACGGCUAAAUACGUG
RNAcentral lists this ribosomal RNA (454 nucleotides) under uncultured bacterium. RNAcentral's name for it is "partial 16S ribosomal RNA". It matches the Rfam family "Bacterial small subunit ribosomal RNA", at positions 28 to 507 of the family's 1533-position model. The record is from RNAcentral.